Molecule: small RNA, 348 nt
Filed under: Arabidopsis thaliana (thale cress)
Lineage: Eukaryota; Viridiplantae; Streptophyta; Magnoliopsida; Brassicales; Brassicaceae
Description: ATSL075870
Source: RNAcentral
AAAAUAUAUGAAAACUAGAUUUUAACCCGCGGUACACCGCGGAGACAAUUUAUUUUUUAAAAUUAAUAUAUAUAAAAAUUUGUAAAUUAUUUUAUAGUUUACCAUUGUUACUAAGUAACGUCCUGCCAAACCCGUCCUGACAAACCCGUCAACAAAAAAAAACUAUUUAUUUUAUUAAUGUUGAUCUUAUUUAUAAUAUGUUUAUGAAUCAUUGUCAAAAUAUUUUAGUCGUUGCGGGACGUUGAACCCACACAUUUUUCGCCAAUUGGUUAAUAUAUGUUCAUUCAUAAAAUUUCGAAUCACAAAAUAUGACGAUUUGUUUUUGAGAUUUUUUUUAACUCUAUAUAU